This 1434-nucleotide ribosomal RNA is filed under the name uncultured marine bacterium. Its description in RNAcentral is "16S ribosomal RNA". It matches the Rfam family "Bacterial small subunit ribosomal RNA". The record is from RNAcentral.
GAGUUUGAUCCUGGCUCAGAACGAACGCUGGCGGCAGGCCUAACACAUGCAAGUCGAGCGCUACCUUCGGGUGGAGCGGCGGACGGGUUAGUAACGCGUGGGAAUAUACCCAGUUCUAAGGAAUAGCCACUGGAAACGGUGAGUAAUACCUUAUACGCCCUUCGGGGGAAAGAUUUAUCGGAAUUGGAUUAGCCCGCGUUAGAUUAGAUAGUUGGUGGGGUAAUGGCCUACCAAGUCUACGAUCUAUAGCUGGUUUGAGAGGAUGAUCAGCAACACUGGGACUGAGACACGGCCCAGACUCCUACGGGAGGCAGCAGUGGGGAAUCUUGCACAAUGGAGGAAACUCUGAUGCAGCGAUGCCGCGUGAGUGAAGAAGGCCUUUGGGUUGUAAAGCUCUUUCGUCGGGGAAGAAAAUGACUGUACCCGAAUAAGAAGGUCCGGCUAACUUCGUGCCAGCAGCCGCGGUAAUACGAAGGGACCUAGCGUAGUUCGGAAUUACUGGGCUUAAAGAGUUCGUAGGUGGUUGAAAAAGUUGGUGGUGAAAUCCCAGAGCUUAACUCUGGAACUGCCAUCAAAACUUUUCAGCUAGAGUAUGAUAGAGGAAAGCAGAAUUUCUAGUGUAGAGGUGAAAUUCGUAGAUAUUAGAAAGAAUACCAAUUGCGAAGGCAGCUUUCUGGAUCAUUACUGACACUGAGGAACGAAAGCAUGGGUAGCGAAGAGGAUUAGAUACCCUCGUAGUCCAUGCCGUAAACGAUGUGUGUUAGACGUUGGAAAUUUAUUUUCAGUGUCGCAGGGAAACCGAUAAACACACCGCCUGGGGAGUACGACCGCAAGGUUAAAACUCAAAUGAAUUGACGGGGACCCGCACAAGUAGUGGAGCAUGUGGUUUAAUUCGAAGAUACGCGCAGAACCUUACCAACACUUGACAUGUUCGUCGCGACUCUAAGAGAUUAGAGUUUUCGGUUCGGCCGGACGAAACACAGGUGCUGCAUGGCUGUCGUCAGCUCGUGUCGUGAGAUGUUGGGUUAAGUCCCGCAACGAGCGCAACCCUCACUUUUAGUUGCCAUCAUUAAGUUGGGCACUCUGAAAGAACUGCCAGUGAUAAGCUGGAGGAAGGUGGGGAUGACGUCAAGUCCUCAUGGCCCUUACGUGUUGGGCUACACACGUGCUACAAUGGCAUCUACAACAGGAAGCAAAACGGCAACGUUAAGCAAAUCCCGAAAAGAUGCCUCAGUUCGGAUUGCACUCUGCAACUCGAGUGCAUGAAGCUGGAAUUACUAGUAAUCGUGGAUCAGCGUGCCACGGUGAAUGCGUUCCCGGGUCUUGUACACACCGCCCGUCACACCAUGGGAGUUGGUUCUACCUUAAGGCAAGGUUUUAAACCCUUGACCACGGUAUAGUCAGCGACUGGGGUGAAGUCGUAACAAGGUAACC